RNAcentral lists this ribosomal RNA (400 nucleotides) under uncultured bacterium. RNAcentral describes it as "partial 16S ribosomal RNA". It matches the Rfam family "Bacterial small subunit ribosomal RNA", at positions 355 to 770 of the family's 1533-position model. The record is from RNAcentral.
UGGGGAAUAUUGCGCAAUGGGGGAAACCCUGACGCAGCCAAUCCGCGUGAGUGAUGAAGGCCUUCGGGUUGUAAAGCUCUGUCGUAGGGGACGAAGAAAUGACGGUACCCUACAAGAAAGCACCGGCUAACCCCGUGCCAGCAGCCGCGGUAAUACGGGGGGUGCAAGCGUUGCUCGGAAUCACUGGGCGUAAAGCGUCCGCAGGCGGGCGCGCAGGUCGGUCGUGAAAGCCCGGGGCUCAACCCCGGAACUGCGAUCGAAACCGCGUGCCUUGAGUACGGGAGAGGGGGGUGGAAUUCCUGGUGUAGAGGUGAAAUUCGUAGAUAUCAGGAGGAACACCGGUGGCGAAAGCGGCCCCCUGGCCCGAGACUGACGCUCAUGGACGAAAGCGUGGGUAGCA